Molecule: long non-coding RNA, 1346 nt
Organism: Astatotilapia calliptera (eastern happy)
Lineage: Eukaryota; Metazoa; Chordata; Actinopteri; Cichliformes; Cichlidae
Source: Ensembl
AGAAGGUUGGUUUGAAAAUCAGAAGAGCAUGGUGUUUUUACACUGUCACCACGUCCAUAUAAUAAACUCCACAGGCAUGAAAACUGAGAAUUCAGUAGACUAGAAGCUGCUGUCGCUCACGGUGAAAGAAUUUCGUCAAUACGACUUGUACUUUUCAUAUGGGAACGAUUUGUUUCGGCCUGACUUUUCUGUUCAUUUUAAGCAGCAAAAGUGAGGUGCAUGUCUGUGUACGUGUGUAUGGAGCCAUUGGGUGCGGUCACUAUAGCAACCAGGCUCACACCUGCCUGCUUAACGAGCUCUGCCUGCCACUCUGCCAAGAUUCAUCUUAAGCACUUCUCUUUCAACUGCUGCUGUGUCCACAGUGUUAAAGCCAUCAUUUUACCCUCAAAACGUCGCCAUCGUUGUUCUUUUUCCAACAUCUUGUCUUUCAAAGCUCAGAGAUGUAAACUUUUUAAACUGUGUGGGUCCAAGUGGAGGGAUCACAUUUUAGUCAUUCAGUGAUUCAAAGAAUAUAACCUUUUAAUAUUCUUUCAGAUGUUUUCUGACUCUAAAUGUUCUUUUCUCAUUUCUUAGGUUUUUCUAAUUUACAAUUAAAACAUUUUCAGCUUUUUUCCAACUUCUUCUUCUGUGUAACCUUCAGCUUUUAGCAGUUCAGCACUUUUGUUUUCAGGUUAAAUUCGGGUUUUUUUUUUGGGUUUUUUUUUAAUCUCAUUCAAUAUUUUUAACUCAAAAUUCAGCAAUUAAUUCAUUUCAGUGCAUACAUUCAGAUUCAAGCAUUCACACUGCAGUUUCUUCAGAAAAUGCACUUUCUAGUUAUAUUUUAUUAUUAUUAUCUAUUCCGUACGCUUUUUGAAAGCCAACUCCUUCAAAACCGUUCAACUUAGAAAAACCAUUCAAACACCGUUAGAUUCCUAUUCUUUUGGACAACAUUGCUUCUAUUUUUCUCAUUUUUAACAUUUAUAUUUUUAAUUUUAUUCAACUUUUUUCAACAAAAAUUUAUAAUGUAUUUCAAUGGGGAGACCCUUCAAAUUCUCAUUCAACUUCAUCCUCUUUAAACUGUAUCUACUUCCACAUACAUUGACAUAGAGCCACCAUUCAAACUUUAAAACGAAGACAAGACAUUCAACUAUUCAACUUGUAUUUAUCUUUUCAAUAUCUAUUAUACUUUUUCUUCAGUUCCAGUUUAAGUUUCAUGAUGUUUUUUCACCCGUUUCAGAGUUUAUAAUGGGUGUGUAUGGGACGGAAUGUUGGGGCUAGAGUGAGGCAGCUCAACUGCUAGAGUGAGAGGAGCAAAAAAAUUAAUCUUAAAAUCUUUUUUAAAACUGCUGCUGUGUCCGCAGCGUUUG